UUAUUUUGGCAGAAUAGUGCAUUUGAUUUAGAAUCAUUUUAAGUAAUUUUUACAGGUAAUAU
RNAcentral lists this transfer RNA (62 nucleotides) under Macrolycus gracilis. RNAcentral describes it as "tRNA-Leu". RNAcentral also lists the same sequence under 2 other names. Lineage: Eukaryota; Metazoa; Arthropoda; Insecta; Coleoptera; Lycidae. The record is from RNAcentral.